RNAcentral lists this unclassified non-coding RNA (4240 nucleotides) under Hevea brasiliensis (rubber tree). The record is from RNAcentral. Lineage: Eukaryota; Viridiplantae; Streptophyta; Magnoliopsida; Malpighiales; Euphorbiaceae.
UCUCUCUCUCUCUCUCUCUCCUGUAGUUCUCACAGCCCCUCUGCAACGAGGCCCAGAAAUAGACAUAAAGACAAAGACAGAGAGAGAAAACUCACUCUCUUCUUCUUUUGGAGAGAGAAAAUCCAAAGAGAAGGAUCUAUGGAGGUCUCUAGCCCUUUGUCAUCGAUAUUAACAGAGUCGGUUUUUGAGGACAAAAUAUAGAUUGAUAGGGACCUUUUUUGGGUUGUGUGGAUUUGGUGCGGUAAAUUGGAAUUGGGUUUUUGGAGAAUGUGGGUAAUGUGGAGAUAAUUUGGGUUGGAUUGCUGUGCAAAGCGGGUGUAGAGGAAGGGUUUUUGUUUGUUGUAGAAAUGGCUGAUGCAGCAGGGUUAAUGGAAGCUGCUGGGACUAGAUUUAGUUCCUUGGAGUUGAUUGGGAGAGGAUCAUUUGGCGAUGUCUACAAAGCGUUUGAUAAGGAGCUUAACAAAGAAGUUGCUAUAAAAGUCAUUGAUUUGGAAGAAUCGUAAGUAUAUAGCCUUGCUUGUUUUUGAUAUUUGUUUUCUAGACUCAUAUUACUCAAUAUUUACUGAUCACUCUUGCAUGAUCUAAAUCUUCAUCCUUUCUUUACCUCUCCAUUUGAUAAUUCCCUGGACUAAGAGGAACUGAAUUACCUAUCAUGUACAGUUUCCUCAAUCAGUUCAGUCUUACAUAAAAAACUUUCUGCAGUUUUCCAACUUAUGUUCACAAGCGGACUUUAGAGUUAGUUUAUGACUUUGUGCAGUUAAAAAAUCUCCUAGAAAUGGCAGUUUAAAAAAACUCCUAGAAAUGGCAAUAACUAAGAAGUUGCUUUGCAAUUUGCUGCAAGAUGUAAAUAUUGGUUAUAUGAUGUCAAUGAAGCAGCACUUAGUCACAUGCUGAUAUGACUGAGAUCAUGAAAUACAUCUCUUACUGGAAAUUUAGAUAGUUGUGGGGAACCAUUGGCAAUAUUUGCAGAGUAUAGUAAUAUUUCUACUGUUUAUUGUUUUGCUUCUUGGCGUUGCAAGAUUUUUGUUGUGUAUGACACACUUCUCACUUCUUAGUCUUUAUUUGGAUAUUGUUAUUUGAUAUUUCUAAAAGGCUUUUGAUUUUGUCUUCUUUAGUGAGGAUGAAAUUGAGGACAUUCAGAAGGUAUUACUUCAUAUUCUUGCCUGUCUAAUUUGUUAUGUAUGAAAUUGCUAAAAAAUUAUGUUGCUCACGUAUCUAAUUUUUAUGUCAGGAAAUUUCAGUUUUGUCACAAUGCCGUUGUCCAUAUAUUACGGAGUACUAUGGUUCUUAUCUUAACCAGACUAAACUAUGGAUAAUAAUGGAAUACAUGGCUGGUGGCUCAGUUGCUGACCUACUUCAAUCAGGUCCUCCAUUGGAUGAAAUGUCAAUUGCAUGUAUUUUACGUGACUUGCUGCAUGCUGUUGAAUAUUUACACAAUGAAGGAAAAAUUCACAGAGAUAUUAAAGCGGCAAACAUUUUAUUGAGUGAGAAUGGUGAUGUUAAGGUAUAUCCUUUUUCUCAAUGGCAUGUACAAUUCACCUGAAUUAUUUGUAAGAGAAAUGAAGAAGGAUAUGCAGUAAUGCAACAGGAGUUAUGUGCUUUCAUUUUUAGUAUUCCAAGUUACUUUUGUGACCUUGUGACAGGUUGCAGAUUUUGGUGUUUCUGCGCAAUUAACAAGAACAAUAUCUAGGAGAAAGACUUUUGUAGGAACUCCAUUUUGGAUGGCGCCGGAGGUAAUUCAAAAUUCAGAGGGGUACAAUGAGAAGGCAGAUAUAUGGUCACUGGGUAUAACUGCAAUUGAGAUGGCAAAGGGGGAACCCCCACUUGCGGAUCUUCACCCUAUGAGGGUUCUUUUUAUCAUACCCCGAGAAAAUCCCCCACAGCUCGAUGAGCAUUUUUCUCGUCUGAUGAAAGAAUUUGUUUCAUUGUGUUUAAAGAAGGUUCCUGCCGAGCGGCCAAGUGCUAAGGAGCUUUUGAAGCAUCGAUUUAUUAGAAAUGCUAGAAAGAGCCCAAGGCUUCUGGAAAGAAUAAGAGAGCGUCCAAAGUAUCAAAUAAAGGAUGCAGAAACUCCCAGGAAUGGUCCAAGAGCAGUUGCAGAGUCAUCCGAUACUGUGAAGGUGACUAGAGAUGUAGGAGCUGAAGGAAUUGUUCGAGCCAGUGGUCAAGGAAAGCCCCUCAGAAAUGCUGGAUGGGACUUCAGUAUUGGUGGAGCACAGAGUACUGGAACCAUAAGAAGUGCUGUUCGACCUCCUCAGGAAUCACCAGAAAUAUCAUUUGGUAGAGAUGCUAGGGAUCCACAUCACGAUGAACGUCAGGAUAAUUCUUAUGAUUAUGAGGAUUUAUCUGUAAGUGGGUCAGGAACUGUUGUUAUACGGACUCCCAGAGGAUCUCAGUCAUCUACCAUGUUUCGAGAUCAAAGCAGUCUGUCUAGUAGCACAGUUGGUUCUUUUGAAGAUGCUUGUACUAGUGGAACUGUUGUCUUCCGUGGCCAACCUGAUGAUUCUGAUUCUCCUUGGACUCCAAAAUCCAGACUGGGAAUGCAAGAGAGAACUUCAAGUGCAUCACUGGAAGACAGUGCAGUAAAUCUUGCUGAGGCAAAGGCUGCAAUGCAAACAGGAUUGCGGAAAGGAAAUGCCAGGGAAAGGUCUGCUCUAAACAAGCUCAACUACGAUGGGCAUGAAAAUAGAAGAAGAGAGCAGAUGACAAGCAGCUCCGAUUCAUCCAGAAGUUCUCGUGACUACUAUGAUGCACAAAGAGUAUUUCCAAGAUCACGCCAAGCAAGUGAAGAUGAAGAAAGUGCAAGAAUAGCUUCAUCAUCAGCACCUCUAUCAGUUUUGUUUCUGCCAUCCUUAAAAGAGGUGAGCUACCAGGUAAUGCUGUCCACUUGUCUUUUUGCUAAUUGGUGGGAUAAGUAUAAUCUAGUACUGUUAUUCCCAUAUAUUAAAUUUUAAUUUGUAGUGCCAUUACAAAACUGCUUGGACAAAUACUGCAUUGAUCCAUGUCGAAAAUGCUUAUUAUGCCUUUUACAUUUGUAGACAUAAAACUCAAGUUUGGUGCAGGAUUACCAUUCACAUUAAAGUAAAGCCUUUAAAUCAGUAUCAACUAUCAAAGUAAUAUUUGGCAAUAGUGGCAGAAGGACUUCGAUUUUCUAAUCAGCUAUACCACUUAUUCAUAUUCUUAUUAGCCAAGCCAAAAUGGGGAACUUAAUCUGCCAUAAAUUCAUUAAGCAUUAUAUGAAACGGGAAAAAUUAUGGUUUGGUUUUCUCAAAUUAUUUUUUACAAGAAUAUUGUUAUUAGUUUGCCUUAGUUCGGUCAACCAAAGAGCCUACAUUAUUCCAUUUGAAUUGAGAAGGUAGUAGGUAAACAACAGAAACAGGUGAUCUGUGCUGAAAACAAUGUGGGGCACCCUCAGCAAGAGGGUUAAUGGACAUGGCAUUGUGCAUGGAUUACUGGACAUAACUAGUGAUAGCAUAAUGGUUUAUACAGGAAUCUCAAAUCAUAUUUAUCCAGAAAUAAAGAAAAAACAACCAUCUCGUCUUUUAUUAUCCAUAGGAGUACCCAUAGUUUUAAAAGCUCUCAGCUUCAUAUAGCUUCUAAUAGCUUCAUCUCUACAAUAUAGGUGGUAGCUGAUGACUCUGAAGGAUCAGUUGUGCAUGCUGUUACAAAUUCACUUGUAAAUAUGGAGCGAACGAAGCCUGGAUCAGCUGAACUCCUUGUUAGAAAUUUGCUUCAGCGAUUGUCAAGUUCAAAGGAUUCUUCAAUGAAGGAUCUACAGGAGUUAGCAGGUCGACUGUUCUCUAAGGGCAAGGCAGCCCCAGAAGAAACACAAAAUGCAAAUGCAGAAGCUGAAAACAAGAAGAAGCAACAAAAUAAGGAAUACAAUUCAAAUGCUAAUUUAAGCCCGCUUGCGAGGUUUUUACUCUCAAGAUGGCAAAGCCAAGUUUAACGGGACGUCAACCCAACUUAAAAGGGGUUGGAGCUGGAUUACAACUUUGUUUUGUAGCGUGUUUUGGUUUAUGCAUUCUUUCAGAGUUGAUGUACAUAUCAUUGUAAGAAAUUGUGCAUUUAAUAUCUAUUUUAUAUUAUUAUAAUUAUUUUUACUCUUUAUAGUUUGAUUUGGAGAGGCGAAUUGCUGUAUAAUUAGGGGUUUGCUAUUGUUAUUAUUGACAAUGUAAUUUUAGCAUAACAUUAAUUGUAUUUAUUAAUACAUUUUGGUAAAAAAUUUUGUUCUUAAUAUUUG